RNAcentral lists this transfer RNA (65 nucleotides) under Potamiscus motuoensis. RNAcentral describes it as "tRNA-Leu". Lineage: Eukaryota; Metazoa; Arthropoda; Malacostraca; Decapoda; Potamidae. The record is from RNAcentral.
UCUAAAAUGACAGAAAGAUGUAUAGGAUUUAAACUCCUACCAGGAAGGCCCUUCUUCUUUUAGAA